This is a small nuclear RNA of Protopterus annectens (West African lungfish), 164 nucleotides long. RefSeq annotates it as U1 spliceosomal RNA. The record is from RefSeq and is a predicted model, not a curated record. The transcript has a single exon. Lineage: Eukaryota; Metazoa; Chordata; Ceratodontiformes; Protopteridae.
AUACUUACCUGUCAGGGGUAAUAUCACAAUCUUGAAGAUGGUUUGCCUAGGGUGAGGCUUUGUCAUUGCACUUCAGUGGGGUUAACCCCUGUGAUUUGCCCAGAUGUGGGAAACUCAACUGCAUAAUUUACGGUAUGCAAUCUUGGGUAUUGACUAGCACUUCU